This 663-nucleotide ribosomal RNA is filed under the name Exophiala sacchari. RNAcentral describes it as "Exophiala sp. FFC-2021a partial large subunit ribosomal RNA". It matches the Rfam family "Eukaryotic large subunit ribosomal RNA", at positions 193 to 870 of the family's 3401-position model. The record is from RNAcentral. Lineage: Eukaryota; Fungi; Ascomycota; Eurotiomycetes; Chaetothyriales; Herpotrichiellaceae.
GAACAGAAUGUCAAAGAGGGUGAGAAUCCCGUCUUGGACCGGCGGUAGGGCCCAUGUGAAACUCCUUCGACGAGUCGAGUUGUUUGGGAAUGCAGCUCAAAAUGGGUGGUAAAUUUCAUCUAAAGCUAAAUAUUGGCCAGAGACCGAUAGCGCACAAGUAGAGUGAUCGAAAGAUGAAAAGCACUUUGAAAAGAGAGUUAAACAGUAUGUGAAAUUGUUGAAAGGGAAGCGCUUACAACCAGACUUGCGCGCGGCGGUUCCCCCUUCCUUUUGGUUGGGCUACUCCGUCGUGUCCAGGCCAACAUCUUUUCUGGGGGUCGGUUAAAGACCCUGGGAAUGUAUCUACCCCUCGGGCGUAGACUUAUAGCUCAGGGUGUCAUGCGGCCUCCCGGGACCGAGGAACGCGCUUCGGCUCGGAUGUUGGCGUAAUGGUUGUCAGCGACCCGUCUUGAAACACGGACCAAGGAGUCUAACAUCUAUGCGAGUGUUUGGGUGUCAAACCCGGAACGCGAAAUGAAAGUGAACGGAGGUAGGAAGCCUUGAGGCUGCACUAUCGACCGAUCCUGAUGUCUUCGGAUGGAUUUGAGUAAGAGCAUAGCUGUUGGGACCCGAAAGAUGGUGAACUAUGCCUGAAUAGGGUGAAGCCAGAGGAAACUCUGGUGG